Molecule: long non-coding RNA, 437 nt
Organism: Herpailurus yagouaroundi (jaguarundi)
Lineage: Eukaryota; Metazoa; Chordata; Mammalia; Carnivora; Felidae
Exons: 3
Source: RefSeq, a predicted model, not a curated record
CGCAGCGCGCUCAGCUCCCGCGCCCUCCGCCCCACGCCUCCCGGGCGCAGAGGCUACGCCGGCAGCCGUCUCUUAGGAGAUUUCUCCGCAGUGGGGACGGGGGUCAGGAUUUGCAGGCGAGCAAGGACAGAGAGGAGAAAUCGCACAGACUGUCAGCACAGAGCCUGACACAGGGCUUGAACCCACAAACCACGAGAUCAUGACCUGAGCCGAAGUCAGACACUUAACCAACUGAGCCAACCAGGCGCCCCAUGAGGAAGCAUGAAUUUUUGGUGGCAUCUACCUCUCUCUGCCCCACUACAGUGUACCAGUGGAAUCAAGCAUAAUGGCAAGCCCAUAGUAGGCACUCAAUCACGGGUGGACCUUCAGCAGCCCUUUCCUCCACCAGCUAGUCCCCACCUUGCAUGCUAUCCUCUCCCCAUGCUCUUUUCCUUACC